GACGUAGGGUGCGAGCGUUGUCCGGAUUUAUUGGGCGUAAAGAGCUCGUAGGCGGCUCGUCGCGUCGACCGUGAAAACCCGCGGCUUAACUGCGGGCUUGCGGUUGAUACGGGCGGGCUAGAGUUCGGUAGGGGGGACUGGAAUUCCUGGUGUAGCGGUGAAAUGCGCAGAUAUCAGGAGGAACACCGGUGGCGAAGGCGGGUCUCUGGGCCGAUACUGACGCUGAGGAGCGAAAGCGUGGGGAGCGAACAGG
RNAcentral lists this ribosomal RNA (253 nucleotides) under uncultured bacterium. RNAcentral's name for it is "partial 16S ribosomal RNA". It matches the Rfam family "Bacterial small subunit ribosomal RNA", at positions 524 to 776 of the family's 1533-position model. The record is from RNAcentral.